AGCGGCGGACGGGUGAGUAACGCGUGGGUAACCUGCCUCAUACAGGGGGAUAACAGUUGGAAACGGCUGCUAAUACCGCAUAAGCGCACAGUACCGCAUGGUACGGUGUGAAAAACUCCGGUGGUAUGAGAUGGACCCGCGUCUGAUUAGGUAGUUGGUGGGGCAACGGCCUACCAAGCCGACGAUCAGUAGCCGACCUGAGAGGGUGACCGGCCACAUUGGGACUGAGACACGGCCCAA
Molecule: ribosomal RNA, 240 nt
Filed under: uncultured bacterium
Lineage: Bacteria
Description: partial 16S ribosomal RNA
Rfam family: Bacterial small subunit ribosomal RNA
Source: RNAcentral